Molecule: long non-coding RNA, 625 nt
Organism: Xenia sp. Carnegie-2017
Lineage: Eukaryota; Metazoa; Cnidaria; Anthozoa; Malacalcyonacea; Xeniidae
Exons: 2
Source: RefSeq, a predicted model, not a curated record
AAGGUGACGAAAAGCUGUAACGAAGCCCAGACGACGCAAUGCCGGUACCUUUACAACCAAUUCUACUCAAUCCAAAGCAAAAAGUAAUUAUAAGGUGAUAAGCUUCGGAAGUGAAAACAUUUUAUCCAAUGAAACAACAAAAUACAUGACCGUGAGAAUGAACAUUUUUAAAGCUCAAUGAUGAAUUGGUUUAAAAUGUACAUAGAAAAGAAUAUGAUCGAAAGGUUGAAGAAGCACAGUGAAGACGAUCGCUCAGAAUAGAAGUGUAUAGUGCUAUAGUUGCAACACAACUAGUUCUAAAUCUCAAAAAUGAAACAGAAACACAUGAAAUAAUUAUUGAAACUAUACACUAAAUAUGAUCUUCGUUAUGUUUAAGGGUAUGUCAUCCUACUCUUUCCAUAACUACGUUUAAGAAGACUUUGGACGAGGGGUAUGUCAUCCCAAUCUUUCCAUUACUACGAGGGGUAUCUCAUUCCAAUCUUUUCAUAACUACGUCCCUCAUUAAGAAGACUUUGGGCAAGGUGUAUCUCAUUCCAAUCUUUCCAUAACUACGCCCCUUAUUAUUUAUACUUAAAAAACAUCUAUAUAUUCAUUCAAAAAUAAAAUGGUGUAAUGAGAAACACAA